CGCGAGAGUGACGCUGAGAAACGUCAAAUUACUCGCUGUCGAGUGACAGUUGAGACUUGACUUUGACAGAUUAAAUUCACUUUAAUAGUAACUCGAAUCUUUGUUCUUUGUUCUAAUGUAGUUUGAGUUUUUUGAAGAUUAACGGUUAGAAAAUGGAGGAUAGGGCGCCAGCUUGCUGAAUGCUGGAAGACGGAGUUAAAGCUCGUUCACACAGUGACAUUAAUGUCGUGAUUCGUCGAUUUUUCCAAGUUCUCACCUGCUGAUUAUAAAAGUGGCUGUUGAUGGAAGUUGAUCCAGCCGAGAAGUACAUGUUUUCUAAUUUUUAUUUAAAGUUUAAUAGGCUGAGAAAGUUAACCAGAAAAUAAAAUAUAUGAAUAAGUUAUUAUAACUAUAAAACCCGCUGAAGGCGCGCCGAAAACGCGAAACAAAAUUAUUAAAAAGGACAACUUUGAAAGCGCUAGCAGAUAAAUAGAACAGUAAAAGCCAAAGCAAUUCUGAAUAGGGGUCACAGAGGAUUUGAAGAAACUAAUGAUAAAAAAGCUUGUGAGAGGCCACCGAAGGACUAAAUGAACCCUACACAUCUGUACGGCCUCUAAGAAACGAGAACGAAAAAUGGUAAAAAAGUAGAAGAACAAAUCAACAUGGAAAUGAAUAUUCCACCGUCAAAUGUGCAUGCCCUUUCGAAAAAGUAGAAACCAAGAAAUUGAUGAAGAAAGUUCUGGACUUGAGCUGAUUACCCGUGGACCUUUGCAAGAGCCUUCAAUAAAGGCAACAUUCUAUCUUUUAACCGUCAAUAAUUUUACACUCGAUAAUCAGAUUUUAAAAUUUUUUUAUCAAACCAUAUCUCUAUUCUUGGACAGCUUGUAAAACAAUGUAAUAAACAUUUGGUAAAGGA
Molecule: long non-coding RNA, 895 nt
Organism: Dendroctonus ponderosae (mountain pine beetle)
Lineage: Eukaryota; Metazoa; Arthropoda; Insecta; Coleoptera; Curculionidae
Exons: 2
Source: RefSeq, a predicted model, not a curated record